This 550-nucleotide ribosomal RNA is filed under the name Hepatozoon canis. Its description in RNAcentral is "bacterial SSU rRNA". It matches the Rfam family "Eukaryotic small subunit ribosomal RNA", at positions 182 to 721 of the family's 1831-position model. The record is from RNAcentral. Lineage: Eukaryota; Apicomplexa; Hepatozoidae.
CUCAACUUUAUUAGAAGAGACGCAUUUAUUAGAUAAAAAGCCAAUGCAUGCUUUUACAGUAUGAAAAUUGGUGAUUUAUAAUAACUUAGCAAAUCGCAAAGUGAAAACAGGCGAUAAAUCAUUCAAGUUUCUGACCUAUCAGCUUUCGACGGUAUGGUAUUGGCUUACCGUGGCAGUGACGGUUAACGGGGGAUUAGGGUUCGAUUCCGGAGAGGGAGCCUGAGAAACGGCUACCACAUCUAAGGAAGGCAGCAGGCGCGCAAAUUACCCAAUUCUAACAGUUUGAGAGAGGUAGUAACAAGAAAUAACAAUACAAGGCAGUUAAAAUGCUUUGUAAUUGGAAUGAUAGAAAUUUAAACCCUUUUUAAAGUAUCAAUUGGAGGGCAAGUCUGGUGCCAGCAGCCGCGGUAAUUCCAGCUCCAAUAGCGUAUAUUAAAAUUGUUGCAGUUAAAAAGCUCGUAGUUGAAGUUCUGCUAAAAGUAACCGGUCUGCUUUGAAUAAAAGUGGUAUCUUGGUAUGUAUUUAGCAAUGAUGUCCUUUGAAGUGUUUU